AUAUUGCACAAUGGGGGAAACCCUGAUGCAGCCAUGCCGCGUGUGUGAAGAAGGCCUUCGGGUUGUAAAGCACUUUCAGUAGGGAGGAAAGGUAGCGGUUUAAUACGCUGUUACUGUGACGUUACCUACAGAAGAAGGACCGGCUAACUCCGUGCCAGCAGCCGCGGUAAUACGGAGGGUCCGAGCGUUAAUCGGAAUUACUGGGCGUAAAGCGUGCGCAGGCGGUUUGUUAAGCGAGAUGUGAAAGCCCCGGGCUCAACCUGGGAAUUGCAUUUCGAACUGGCGAACUAGAGUCUUGUAGAGGGGGGUAGAAUUCCAGGUGUAGCGGUGAAAUGCGUAGAGAUCUGGAGGAAUACCGGUGGCGAAGGCGGCCCCCUGGACAAAGACUGACGCUCAGGCACGAAAGCGUGGGGAGCAAACAGGAUUAGAUACCCUGGUAGUCCACGCCGUAAACGAUGUCUACUCGGAGUUUGGUGUCUUGAACACUGGGCUCUCAAGCUAACGCAUUAAGUAGACCGCCUGGGGAGUACGGCCGCAAGGUUAAAACUCAAAUGAAUUGACGGGGCCCAGC
RNAcentral lists this ribosomal RNA (571 nucleotides) under Shewanella sp. RNAcentral describes it as "bacterial SSU rRNA". It matches the Rfam family "Bacterial small subunit ribosomal RNA", at positions 361 to 924 of the family's 1533-position model. The record is from RNAcentral. Lineage: Bacteria; Pseudomonadati; Pseudomonadota; Gammaproteobacteria; Alteromonadales; Shewanellaceae.